RNAcentral lists this long non-coding RNA (216 nucleotides) under Elaeis guineensis (African oil palm). RNAcentral describes it as "long non-coding RNA (EGUI_LNC025905)". The record is from RNAcentral. Lineage: Eukaryota; Viridiplantae; Streptophyta; Magnoliopsida; Arecales; Arecaceae.
GGUGCAUGAAAGAGAAUCCCAAUCUAACUGAGAUUCCUUUUAAGGGCUGUUUUAAAUCUGAUGUAAAUGAGUUUUUAAUCCUAACUAAUUCUUGUUCUAAAUCCUAACUAAGUCAGAAAUUGGUCAUAACCAAUUAACUAAUUAGGUUCUAGUUCAAUUAGGCCCUAAUCCAACUAGAAAAUUAAUUGAAUCAAAUCUUCAUCAAACUAGGGAUUG